UUUACCGGUAUUCAAUUCUGCCCUCGUGUUAGAAGCAAUGAGGAAGAAGUUGGAUGAAUGCCCUUGUCUCAAAAGAGAACUAACAUACGCAGAGUCCACAAGGUGAGCCCUCACCGAUGCUCCUGAUGCGAAAACCCCAAAGGAACAGUUCCUGCGGAGCCUCGCCGUCCACACCAACGGAGCCCGUGCAGAAGACUAGCUCUUAAUCGGAACAAGAUGGACCCCUACCUGAGCAGUCCGUUGAAGGCGACCCUCCAGCGGCGCAUGGGCACCAGCUGCUCGAGCCGCAAACCGGCGGCCGCGUACAAGCCGCUGCGAGAACAAUCCGCGACACCGUGGCC
Molecule: long non-coding RNA, 341 nt
Organism: Dermacentor albipictus
Lineage: Eukaryota; Metazoa; Arthropoda; Arachnida; Ixodida; Ixodidae
Source: RefSeq, a predicted model, not a curated record